This is a non-coding RNA of Myodes glareolus (Bank vole), 785 nucleotides long. The record is from RefSeq and is a predicted model, not a curated record. NCBI's taxonomy places the organism in Eukaryota, Metazoa, Chordata, Mammalia, Rodentia, Cricetidae.
GCUCCGCCCGGGUCCCGUCGGCGUCGGCCUCCGGUGGCUACCCAACACCGGACUUGCGGGCAGUCGGACAUCACCAGUCCCUGGAGAUCUGAAGCCACGACCGGUCGCGUCAUAAAGAGCCAUUCGUACAGUUUAUGCUGUUGGCUCUGGUUCUAAGAAGGCACUUCCAAGUCGCUGGGUAGUACCACCGCAAAAUGACCCUGGCAUCUAGAUGCAAGGAACAAGGGCGAGGACCGGGAUAAGUGGAGGAAAGAAAGGGUUAACUUGACUCAUCUACUACCCGGGCUUCCAAUCUCUCCUUUCCAAUACUUCACUCUGCCCUACAGUGCCUUUUUCUGUGUGUAGCAAAAGAUUAUCCGCAAGGCAGUCGUUUGCUGCUUCUUCCAAAAUCAGCGUGCCAGAGCCUAGGAAAGGAAGGGUGUAUUCUAGACAGGAAGCCCCCUUCCUCCACGUAGAAAAUCCUACAGCUGUGUGGAGCUCAGCCAGAAGCAAAGCCAGAACUGUGGCUGACAGCCCUUCUCCAGACUCCUCUAGGACACGGAGGCAGCCAGAGGCUUCGCACAGAGGGGCCAUGCGGCCUUGUGUGAUUGAUACUCAAGCCUCUGGGAUGGCUUCAUUCGUUGACGAAUAGAAAGCAGAUCUUGGUUACCAUCCCGCUUCGCUCCUGUUCAAGUCAGAUGGAAGGCACUCGACCCUGAAGCGGCCCCUCAUGUGUGAUUGGACUCAAAACCAAGGGACUACCAUCCCGUGGAGUUCAGCUGCGCUGCUUACCCACGUCAUCCCAG